AACCUUAAAAUAAGGACCAAGAAUGAAAGAUCUUUCAAUGUUGGACUUCAAUAUAAGUUUAAUCUUUAGCUUUUACAUGUUACAUAUCAAUAAAGAAAGCGAUGUGGUGGUUGAAUGAACAUAUCAACUGAAGUCACUGACAGUGAAUUAUAUAAAAGUUGUUUAAUUUUUGUAAUUCUGAUUCAUUGGCUGCGUAAUUCAGGUUAGAUGGAAGGAGUUUUAAAUUGAUUUAAUGAUGGUUCAUGCAGGCUAAUUGUGUGGUAUGAUUAAUUGUUUCCUUGGAUCUGUUAUACUCCUAUAACGCUUGAUAAUAGUUUGUAUUUUCAUCAUUUUAUCGAUUGACAUACUUAAAUUUUUCUGUAGUGACUACUAUAUACUUUUUUGAGCAUUAGAUAAUGAAUCCAUAGCCUUUGAACAUUCGGGCAGAUAUUGUGAUGAAAUGUUUUCAGUUUGAUGGACUUCUUCACAUUAAGGUGUUUUAGUCUCAUUUUUUAAACUUUUAUCUUUUAAUAACUUCCAAUUUUGAUACUAAUUUAUAAUUUGUAAAUCAACGCUCACGGCUGGCUUUCACUGAACAAUUACAGGUUAGUUAUUUGAAAUA
Lactuca sativa (garden lettuce) is the source of this 601-nucleotide long non-coding RNA. RefSeq lists it as uncharacterized. The record is from RefSeq and is a predicted model, not a curated record. Lineage: Eukaryota; Viridiplantae; Streptophyta; Magnoliopsida; Asterales; Asteraceae.